Molecule: ribosomal RNA, 490 nt
Filed under: uncultured bacterium
Lineage: Bacteria
Description: partial 16S ribosomal RNA
Rfam family: Bacterial small subunit ribosomal RNA
Source: RNAcentral
AUUGAACGCUGGCGGCAGGCCUAACACAUGCAAGUCGAAUGGUAACAGGAAACAGCUUGCUGUUUCGCUGACGAGUGGCGGACGGGUGAGUAAUGUCUGGGAAACUGCCUGAUGGAGGGGGAUAACUACUGGAAACGGUAGCUAAUACCGCAUAACGUCGCAAGACCAAAGAGGGGGACCUUCGGGCCUCUUGCCAUCCGAUGUGCCCAGAUGGGAUUAGCUAGUAGGUGGGGUAACGGCUCACCUAGGCGACGAUCCCUAGCUGGUCUGAGAGGAUGACCAGCCACACUGGAACUGAGACACGGUCCAGACUCCUACGGGAGGCAGCAGUGGGGAAUAUUGCACAAUGGGCGCAAGCCUGAUGCAGCCAUGCCGCGUGUAUGAAGAAGGCCUUCGGGUUGUAAAGUACUUUCAGCGGGGAGGAAGGGAGUAAAGUUAAUACCUUUGCUCAUUGACGUUACCCGCAGAAGAAGCACCGGCUAACUCCGUG